AUAUGAUUUUUUCGUCUUGUAAGCGUGGCGUAUUUUCCUUUAUUUUUUUUCUAGGAAACAUUGGAACGACACUGCUUAAAUUGAAGCAUAGUGUACGAAUGACCUGCUACGCUCGGUCGGGAAGAAAUCAGAUGAAAAAAGAAAACUGUAAAUACCCAGUACUGUACGAUAUACGUCUGGUUCAUUGCAGUUUGUAUGAGCACUGUAACUAUCCAAGAUUCACUCUCGACGGGGACAGAGAAAUACCGGAUGCUGUACCGUUCAGAGCCAAGAACAUGUAAUGGCUGAAAAAGAGACUUCCAGGCAGUAUGCAAAACUCUAGCUCACAGCAGACCAGCACUGUCCUUUAGCUGUAUCGUACUAUUUCAGUGAACAAAGACUGCUUGCAAAUUGUUAACACUGCUGCACGAAAAAAAUAAUGUAUUUUAUGAUUGCAAAAUAAACCCCUAAAAAAUAAAACAUUGCGUUC
RNAcentral lists this long non-coding RNA (469 nucleotides) under Dermacentor andersoni. RNAcentral's name for it is "uncharacterized LOC126548617". The record is from RNAcentral. Lineage: Eukaryota; Metazoa; Arthropoda; Arachnida; Ixodida; Ixodidae.